CGCCCGUCAAACCACGAAAGUGAGCAAUACCCAAAGCCGGUGGCCUAACCCGUAAGGGAGGGAGCCGUCUAAGGUAGGGUUCAUGAUUGGGGUUAAGUCGUAACAAGGUAUCCCUACGGGAACGUGGGGAUGGAUCACCUCCUUUCUAAGGAGAAAGGCUAACUAACACUUAGCAAAAAAGGCUACGUAGUCGUAGCAAACAAUUCUCUAAUUUGUUCAUCAUAUUCAGUUUUGAGAGACUUAAUCCAAGUGAUUGGUUUCUUAAGUAUCAAAUAAAGUCUUUGAAAAGUAGAUAAAUGAUGUCUGAAAAGAAAUAAAGGUUAAGGAAGAAAGGGCACGCAGUGAAUGCCUUGGCACCAAGAGACGAUGAAGGACGGAACUAACACCGAAAUGCCCGGAGAAGCUGUAAGUAAGCGACGAUCCCGGGAUGUCCGAAUGGGGGAACCCACCAUGUGGAAGACAUGGUACUCGAGCAAUCGAGAGUGAAACGCAGGGAACUGAAAUAUCUCACGUACCUGCAGGAAAAGAAAGUAAAAACGAUUCUGUAAGUAGCGACGAGCGAAAGCGGAGGAGCCAGAUACCUAAGGUUACAAAAUUCUAGGAUAGAUGAAUGCUGUGGGAAAAGCAGGCAAAGAGGGUGAGACCCCCGUAGUUGAAAUUCUAGGAUCCAUGGUAUCAGAAAGUAGGGCGGGACACGUGGAAUCCCGUUUGAAGAUAGGAGGACCAUCUCCUAAGGCUAAAUACUACUUGGUGACCGAUAGUGAACCA
This 768-nucleotide small RNA is filed under the name Acholeplasma oculi. RNAcentral's name for it is "bacterial LSU rRNA". The stretch from base 319 to 768 matches the Rfam family "Bacterial large subunit ribosomal RNA", at positions 1 to 497 of the family's 2925-position model. The record is from RNAcentral. Lineage: Bacteria; Bacillati; Mycoplasmatota; Mollicutes; Acholeplasmatales; Acholeplasmataceae.